Molecule: long non-coding RNA, 288 nt
Filed under: Homo sapiens (human)
Lineage: Eukaryota; Metazoa; Chordata; Mammalia; Primates; Hominidae
Description: HSALNT0331334
Source: RNAcentral
CCACCUGCUAAGCUGCCUUUAGUGCCUCUCAUUGGCAGAAGCUAACAGGAAGUCAGCUGGCAAGGGAGCUGAAAAAUGUGGCUUGCAGACCCUAGCCCCAGCAUCUCAGAGCAGAUUAUAGAAGGGUGAGCGUAGACCAGAAACCAGAGGUGCCUGGAGGGAUCAGCAAACUGAGAUCAUUGGAGUUCAUACUUAGGGCAUGGUGUUUUCUCGGGAACCUGGGUGACUCAAACCUGGACUAUCAUUCAGCUACCCGGGAGGCUGAGGCAGAACAGCUUGAGCCCAGGA